This 1035-nucleotide ribosomal RNA is filed under the name Lactiplantibacillus plantarum. RNAcentral describes it as "bacterial SSU rRNA". It matches the Rfam family "Bacterial small subunit ribosomal RNA", at positions 434 to 1461 of the family's 1533-position model. The record is from RNAcentral. Lineage: Bacteria; Bacillati; Bacillota; Bacilli; Lactobacillales; Lactobacillaceae.
UGUUGUUAAAGAAGAACAUAUCUGAGAGUAACUGUUCAGGUAUUGACGGUAUUUAACCAGAAAGCCACGGCUAACUACGUGCCAGCAGCCGCGGUAAUACGUAGGUGGCAAGCGUUGUCCGGAUUUAUUGGGCGUAAAGCGAGCGCAGGCGGUUUUUUAAGUCUGAUGUGAAAGCCUUCGGCUCAACCGAAGAAGUGCAUCGGAAACUGGGAAACUUGAGUGCAGAAGAGGACAGUGGAACUCCAUGUGUAGCGGUGAAAUGCGUAGAUAUAUGGAAGAACACCAGUGGCGAAGGCGGCUGUCUGGUCUGUAACUGACGCUGAGGCUCGAAAGUAUGGGUAGCAAACAGGAUUAGAUACCCUGGUAGUCCAUACCGUAAACGAUGAAUGCUAAGUGUUGGAGGGUUUCCGCCCUUCAGUGCUGCAGCUAACGCAUUAAGCAUUCCGCCUGGGGAGUACGGCCGCAAGGCUGAAACUCAAAGGAAUUGACGGGGGCCCGCACAAGCGGUGGAGCAUGUGGUUUAAUUCGAAGCUACGCGAAGAACCUUACCAGGUCUUGACAUACUAUGCAAAUCUAAGAGAUUAGACGUUCCCUUCGGGGACAUGGAUACAGGUGGUGCAUGGUUGUCGUCAGCUCGUGUCGUGAGAUGUUGGGUUAAGUCCCGCAACGAGCGCAACCCUUAUUAUCAGUUGCCAGCAUUAAGUUGGGCACUCUGGUGAGACUGCCGGUGACAAACCGGAGGAAGGUGGGGAUGACGUCAAAUCAUCAUGCCCCUUAUGACCUGGGCUACACACGUGCUACAAUGGAUGGUACAACGAGUUGCGAACUCGCGAGAGUAAGCUAAUCUCUUAAAGCCAUUCUCAGUUCGGAUUGUAGGCUGCAACUCGCCUACAUGAAGUCGGAAUCGCUAGUAAUCGCGGAUCAGCAUGCCGCGGUGAAUACGUUCCCGGGCCUUGUACACACCGCCCGUCACACCAUGAGAGUUUGUAACACCCAAAGUCGGUGGGGUAACCUUUUAGGAACCAGCCGCCUAAG